RNAcentral lists this ribosomal RNA (430 nucleotides) under uncultured bacterium. RNAcentral describes it as "partial 16S ribosomal RNA". It matches the Rfam family "Bacterial small subunit ribosomal RNA", at positions 338 to 765 of the family's 1533-position model. The record is from RNAcentral.
CCUACGGGAGGCUGCAGUGAGGAAUAUUGGUCAAUGGGCGAGAGCCUGAACCAGCCAAGUCGCGUGAAGGAUGAAGGAUCUAUGGUUUGUAAACUUCUUUUAUAUGGGAAUAAAGUGAGGAACGUGUUCCUUUUUGUAUGUACCAUAUGAAUAAGCAUCGGCUAACUCCGUGCCAGCAGCCGCGGUAAUACGGAGGAUGCGAGCGUUAUCCGGAUUUAUUGGGUUUAAAGGGUGCGUAGGUGGUUAAUUAAGUCAGCGGUGAAAGUUUGUGGCUCAACCAUAAAAUUGCCGUUGAAACUGGUUGACGUGAGAAUAUUUGAGGUAGGGGGAAGGCGUGGUGUAGCGGGGAAAUGAAUAGAUAUCACGAAGAACACCGAUUGAGAAGGCAGCUUACUAAACUAUAACGGAAACGGAAGCACGAAAGCGGGGG